AAAAAUGGAAUUUAUUUUUACAAAAUUUACUUCUGGAUACUAUCUUAUGAUCAUAAACAAGCUUCUGUCCAAGUUUGGUAGAAAUCCAGUAUAGUUUAAGAAAGUUAUUAAAAUUUCAAAAACUUUAACCACAGAGUGAAUAUUUGUGGACGCCGCCGACGACGACACUGACGACGACGGAAAGUAGGAUCGCUUAGUCUCGCUUUUUCGACUAAAGUCGAAGGCUCGACAAAAAUCUUACAAUGAGCAUAUGAUUGGAAAUUUAUUUAUGAGAAGUUAGACUAAAAAAAGUGGUCGUAUUCUGAAUAUUCGAUCAGCUCACAGUAAAAGGAGAAAAACAUACGAUGUUCAGUCUGAAGGUACCUGUUCAUGUAGGGGGACAUGUCUUAUAGCAGAUUCUCUCCUUGUGGUGAACUAGCAUGUUAAAAAGGAGCUCAGUGCAUUAUUGGUCUAGUUCUGUACAAAAUAUGUUAAUUACAUUGUAUUUAUAUCUGAGUAUCAUGUCCUCUUCCUGCACUUAACUUGCCACUGGAUCACAUAACAUCAAUCCAUCCACCCAUCUUCUCAAAAGUAAUAUAUCGAGUUCCACUGUUCAAUAUGUUCUGAUUUGACUCAAGCAAGAUAUAAAUACAUGUAAUAUGGUAUUGUCAAAUAGAAGUAUUAAUAAGUAUUAAAAACAUAAACCUUGUAGACCACACAAGAUGCAAUUCUGACAAUAAAUAUGACAUAAAGCCAGAAUAUUUAAAAAAAAAAAAGAAGCUAAAGUAACUGUCGAAGAGCUGGAUCUAAAGCUGAACCACUUCAGGACAACAAAAAUCAGAGAAAUAAAAAAAAAACAUAACGAAAACAUUUACAUGUCACGAUAUAGAAAAUGAAUGGAAAUGGGGUAAGUGUCAAAGAGAACAAUUAACCCACCCCAAAUAUACAAAACAACUAGGCAUCACUAUACAGAUACAGUCUGAUUUAAAAAGUGUUAUAAUGAAACAGUACUGAAGAAAUUAGUAACGAAAC
RNAcentral lists this long non-coding RNA (1011 nucleotides) under Mytilus galloprovincialis (Mediterranean mussel). Lineage: Eukaryota; Metazoa; Mollusca; Bivalvia; Mytilida; Mytilidae. The record is from RNAcentral.